Molecule: long non-coding RNA, 260 nt
Filed under: Gossypium raimondii (Peruvian cotton)
Lineage: Eukaryota; Viridiplantae; Streptophyta; Magnoliopsida; Malvales; Malvaceae
Description: long non-coding RNA (GRAI_LNC001946)
Source: RNAcentral
GUAAAUUAAAAUUUAGUCACAGAUAUCGGAAAUCUGGGAGAGUCUCAGAGUUAAGCAAGAAAAAGUAUGUUGACAUAUGUUUGUUUGGUUUCCCUUGCAUAUAUCGAAACAUUCCCUUAUUGUUUGGAUGGCUAUCUUGAAUCGUCUUUGAACUAGGGAUAGAUUGGAUUUGUAGAGGCAUGGGAUUAAUGCCACUUGUAGUUUUUGUACUUGCAUGAAGGGGUGUAGAAAUAAUUUAUUCUUUGGCAAGUUGGGAAAAG